RNAcentral lists this ribosomal RNA (468 nucleotides) under uncultured bacterium. Its description in RNAcentral is "partial 16S ribosomal RNA". It matches the Rfam family "Bacterial small subunit ribosomal RNA", at positions 28 to 506 of the family's 1533-position model. The record is from RNAcentral.
GACGAACGCUGGCGGCGUGCUUAACACAUGCCAGUCGAACGGAAAGGCCCUGCUUUUGUGGGGUGCUCGAGUGGCGAACGGGUGAGUAACACGUGAGUAACCUGCCCUUGACUUUGGGAUAACUUCAGGAAACUGGGGCUAAUACCGGAUAGGAGCCCCUGCUGCAUGGUGGGGGUUGGAAAGUUUCGGCGGUUGGGGAUGGACUCGCGGCUUAUCAGCUUGUUGGUGGGGUAGUGGCUUACCAAGGCUUUGACGGGUAGCCGGCCUGAGAGGGUGACCGGGCACAAUUGGACUGAAAUACAGCCCCGACCUCUAAGGGGAGCAACAGGGGGGGAAAAUGGACAAAGGGAGGAAGCCUGGAGCAACGACCCCGGGGUGGGGAAGACUGCCUUCGGGGUUGUAAACCCAUUCGGCUUGGGAGGAGGCUUGGUGGCGGUAAAGGGGAAAGGAAGCACCGGUAAAUUAGUU